Molecule: ribosomal RNA, 173 nt
Filed under: Lecanora atra
Lineage: Eukaryota; Fungi; Ascomycota; Lecanoromycetes; Lecanorales; Lecanoraceae
Description: partial 18S ribosomal RNA
Source: RNAcentral
UCCUCCCCUGGGAGUCAAUCAGCUGCUGUAUAUUAACCCAUAUACCGUCCACAGAUCAAACACGAGUGGCUAACCCCCUUCGUUCGGAAGGUGGAUUUCAGCUAAGAUAUGACCGUAGCUGCCCCGCAAGGGGCCGAGAUACUAGUUCCGUAGGUGAACCUGCGGAAGGAUCA